RNAcentral lists this ribosomal RNA (252 nucleotides) under uncultured bacterium. RNAcentral describes it as "partial 16S ribosomal RNA". It matches the Rfam family "Bacterial small subunit ribosomal RNA", at positions 524 to 776 of the family's 1533-position model. The record is from RNAcentral.
UACGUAGGGGGCAAGCGUUGUCCGGAAUUAUUGGGCGUAAAGAGUACGUAGGCGGUCUGUUAAGCGCAAGGUGAAAGGCAUAGGCUCAACCAAUGUGAGCCUUGCGAACUGUCAGACUUGAGUGCAGGAGAGGAAAGCGGAAUUCCUAGUGUAGCGGUGAAAUGCGUAGAUAUUAGGAGGAACACCGGUGGCGAAGGCGGCUUUCUGGACUGAAACUGACGCUGAGGUACGAAAGCGUGGGGAGCAAACAGG